CCUACGGGAGGCAGCAGUGGGGAAUAUUGGGCAAUGGGCGCAAGCCUGACCCAGCAAAGCCGCGUGAAGGAAGAAGGCUCUCGGGUUGUAAACUUCUUUUCUGAGGGACGAAGAAAGUUACGGUACCUCAGGUAUAAGCCACGGCUAACUACGUGCCAGCAGCCGCGGUAAUACGUGGGUGGGAAGCGUUAUCCGGAUUUAUUGGGUGUAAAGGGCGUGUUGGGGGGAAAGCAAGUCAGAUGUGAAAACUCAGGGCUCAACCCUGAGCCUGCAUUUGAAACUGUUUUUCUUGAGUGCUGGAGAGGCAAGCGGAAUUCCGGGUGUAGCGGUGAAAUGCGUAGAUAUAAGGAGGAACACCGGUGGCGAAGGCAGAUUGCUGGACAGUAACUGACGCUGAGGCGCGAAAGCGUGGGGAGCAAACAGGAUUAGAUACCCUAGUAGUC
This 443-nucleotide ribosomal RNA is filed under the name uncultured bacterium. RNAcentral describes it as "partial 16S ribosomal RNA". It matches the Rfam family "Bacterial small subunit ribosomal RNA", at positions 338 to 795 of the family's 1533-position model. The record is from RNAcentral.